This 581-nucleotide long non-coding RNA is filed under the name Vulpes vulpes (red fox). RNAcentral describes it as "lncRNA (ENSVVUG00000001559.1)". Lineage: Eukaryota; Metazoa; Chordata; Mammalia; Carnivora; Canidae. The record is from RNAcentral.
UUCUCUAGCCCUCCAUUCGUAAUGAGCAACAGUCCCAAAAUUACUCUCUUAUUUUCUUCUGUGCUUUUACUUAUUUAUUUGAGAGAAAGGGAGCAGAAGAGGUGAGAGGGGCAGAGGGAGGGUGAGAGAAACAGACCAUUUGCUGAGAAGGGAGCCCCAAACUAGCCUCAAUUCCAGGUCCUAGACAGCCUGACCUGAGCUGAAGGCAGACUCCUAAAUGACCGAGCAACUCAGGAAUCUCUACCUGAGGUAUUCUUGAGCAGCAUGACGAAUGUACUGAUGGAUUCUCUGUGUCCUUCUAGUUUCAUCCUUGGAUUCAUUCCUCAUAACAAAAUUCAUGGAAAACAUCAGUGAGGAAGAACAAAUCAGUAUCGUCAAGGUGGCCUCAGAACUAGUGACAGCGAUUGGGCGGUGGAAAAUAUUGAGGAUGAAAUUCCUGAAGAGGAAGAAACCUCAGGUCCGGAAGCACAAUGAGGCGGGAAUCAACAGGAGGGAGUCCCUGGUGCAGUUGGAGUAUACCUGCUACUUUGUAGACUGAGAGUGGGCGGGAUGAAAUAAAGAAGAUGAUGUAUAGGAAUGCA